UGGGGAAUAUUGCACAAUGGGCGCAAGCCUGAUCCAGCCAUGCCGCGUGAGUGAUGAAGGCCUUAGGGUCGUAAAGCUCUUUCGCCUGUGAAGAUAAUGACGGUAGCAGGUAAAGAAACCCCGGCUAACUCCGUGCCAGCAGCCGCGGUAAUACGGAGGGGGUUAGCGUUGUUCGGAAUUACUGGGCGUAAAGCGCACGUAGGCGGACCAGAAAGUUGGGGGUGAAAUCCCGGGGGCUCAACCCCGGAACUGCCUCCAAAACUAUUGGUCUAGAGUUCGAGAGAGGUGAGUGGAAUUCCAAGUGUAGAGGUGAAAUUCGUAGAUAUUUGGAGGAACACCAGUGGCGAAGGCGGCUCACUGGCUCGAUACUGACGCUGAGGUGCGAAAGUGUGGGGAGCAAACAGGAUUAGAUACCCUGGUAGUCCACACCGUAAAACGAUGAGUGCUAGUCGUCGGCAGGCAUGCCUGUCGGUGACACACCUAACGGAUUAAGCAUUCCGCCUGGGGAGUACGGUCGCAAGAUUAAAACGUCAAAGGAAUUG
RNAcentral lists this ribosomal RNA (542 nucleotides) under uncultured bacterium. Its description in RNAcentral is "bacterial SSU rRNA". It matches the Rfam family "Bacterial small subunit ribosomal RNA", at positions 355 to 912 of the family's 1533-position model. The record is from RNAcentral.